This is a long non-coding RNA of Diospyros lotus (date-plum), 1465 nucleotides long. RefSeq lists it as uncharacterized. NCBI's taxonomy places the organism in Eukaryota, Viridiplantae, Streptophyta, Magnoliopsida, Ericales, Ebenaceae. The record is from RefSeq and is a predicted model, not a curated record. The transcript is spliced from 3 exons.
GCAUCUGUACACAGGCACAUCAACGAACUGGAAACAGCCUUGUUGCAAAAAAUAGCCAUCGCAAAGUAGGGAGCUUUACAGGUUUCAAGCAUGAUCAAACCAACAUAUACAGAUGUUUUAAAGUAGACAAAAUGUAAAGGAAAAUAGGAUAUAUAUAGUGCUCCUAAAACUACAGUGUCAUUGCUAAACAUGCCUUGUGGGUUUUCUAGAAGCCAAUGGAGAACCAACACUAUGUGAAGCUAGAGAAGUGCUCAUUUGCAAUGCAAUUAGAUACAGUUGCUCAUGCUGCUCAACUAUGCUUCAAUGCCAAACAGAGAUGCUACUACAUGAUUAUACUGUUCCCCAGGAAACCAAUUCCACACAUUCCAAUUUACUAGCUCCCAUUUAUACUUUUGAAGCAGCUGAUAAAAAAACAAUUUUUAAUGGCCAAGUGGUCGACACCAUAGUGUUGCAAGCUCCUGUUUUCUUCCUAAGGCGAAAGGGGUAGACACUGAGUUUGACACCAAACCACUGAGAGAUCCUGAAAAUCAACAGGGCCAAAGAACAAGAUGAACAUGGGGUUGGCAACUUUGUCAGUUUUCCAAAAUAAUCAAGGGAAACUACUAGUUUUAAAUUUAACAAGCCCCAACAGUCAUCUCCAGCUACCAACCAGUAUAAUGAAGCCUCAUCUAUAGAGGAAAAUGGAGCAUUGAGAACAUCAUCAAGUUUCAAGUCUUCAGGUAUGAAUGCAAGUCCUAAGGAAAGCAGAUCAUAUUCAAUCAAGCUCGGGCAAUACUCAUGCAAAUGGUGGAGAUUUGUUAUAUGUUUGCAUCGAGUUUAGCCCAUUAAAGGAAUCAGAGGAGUCCAUUCUAUUUCAAGCGACAAUUAGUUAGUUAGUCUCUUCUAACGGUAACUUUCUGUUUGGGAGGUAUAAUAGGUAUUAUCAUAUCUUUAUAUGUUUCCUUGUAUUAUCCGUCUCUAUUGUCUAUAAAUAGAGGGCAGGGGCAAUCACUUGAGUUAUUAUGAGGUGAACGAGUGGAUGUAUUUGAGAGAAAAGUCUAGAGAAUAUAGCAUUUGUAAUCUCGUGUUUCUGUUGUACUCGUGAGGGAGUACUUUGUACUGAUUGUUCAAGAUUGAUUAGUAAGAUUGCUCUUGAGGGGAUUAAAGGUUGGAUGUGGGAUCAUCUAACACUUUGGUGAUUUGAACCAAGAUAAUUGUUGGUGUUCUUCUUAUGGUUUGCUUUCUAUUCUUUAUCGUUUUCAUCCUAGUUUUGUGUUAUGUUAUUUCUAUCUUGUUCAAUCCGUGUGUGCGUAUAUCAUAUACGGUCAAGAUUGAGUGCAUUCCACUACUCCCAAUACAACAGGCGCCAACAAGGCUGCCAAUACAAAGCUCAAAGUACAACCAUGAACCCUUACAACAUUAGGUGCAUGAUAGUAGUGUCCAAUCUGACCUAUAAAUUUGCUUCUACACAACUUGCCUGUUUUAA